Mytilus californianus (California mussel) is the source of this 3061-nucleotide long non-coding RNA. RefSeq lists it as uncharacterized. The transcript is spliced from 7 exons. NCBI's taxonomy places the organism in Eukaryota, Metazoa, Mollusca, Bivalvia, Mytilida, Mytilidae. The record is from RefSeq and is a predicted model, not a curated record.
CGGUGUCGAACUUUGCCGUACGGAGCUGGCGAGACUUGCCGGAAGAAUGUACGGUGGAAACGUAAAAAAAAAAAUAAUACCAACUUUGAACCCCUUCAAUUCCCAGAAGGUCCUAACCCCCAAAAAACCAUUUCAGUGGGUCCUGCUCUGAUUCAUUACCUUUCAUUUGAGCUAUGUCCGGUGUCGAACUUUGCCGUACGGAGCUAACGAGACUUGCCGGAAGAAUGUACGGUGGAAACGUAAAAAAAAAAUAAUACCAACUUUGAACCCCUUCAAUUUCCAGAAGGUCCUAACCCCCAAAAAAUCAUUUCAGUGGGUCCUGCUCUGAUUCAUUACCUUUCAUUUGAGCUAUGUCCGGUGUCGAACUUUGCCGUACGGAGCUGGCGAGACUUGCCGAAAGAAUGUACUGUGGAAACGUAAAAAAAAAAAUAAUACCAACUUUGAACCCCUUCAAUUCCCAGAAGGUCCUAACCCCCAAAAAAUCAUUUCAGUGGGUCCUGCUCUGAUUCAUUACCUUUCAUUUGAGCUAUGUCCGGUGUCGAACUUUGCCGUACGGAGCUGGCGAGACUUGCCGGAAGAAUGUACGGUGGAAACGUAAAAAAAAAAAUAAUACCAACUUUGAACCCCUUCAAUUCCCAGAAGGUCCUAACCCCCAAAAAAUCAUUUCAGUGGAUCCUGCUCUGAUUCAUUACCUUUCAUUUGAGCUAUGUCCGGUGACGAGCUUUGCCGUACGGAGCUGGCGAGACUUGCCGAAAGAAUGUACGGUGGAAACGUAAAAAAAAAAAUAAUACCAACUUUGAACCCCUUCAAUUCCCAGAAGGUCCUAACCCCCAAAAAACCAUUUCAGUGGGUCCUGCUCUGAUUCAUUACCUUUCAUUUGAGCUAUGUCCGGUGUCGAACUUUGCCGUACGGAGCUAACGAGACUUGCCGGAAGAAUGUACGGUGGAAACGUAAAAAAAAAAUAAUACCAACUUUGAACCCCUUCAAUUUCCAGAAGGUCCUAACCCCCAAAAAAUCAUUUCAGUGGGUCCUGCUCUGAUUCAUUACCUUUCAUUUGAGCUAUGUCCGGUGUCGAACUUUGCCGUACGGAGCUGGCGAGACUUGCCGAAAGAAUGUACUGUGGAAACGUAAAAAAAAAAAUAAUACCAACUUUGAACCCCUUCAAUUCCCAGAAGGUCCUAACCCCCAAAAAAUCAUUUCAGUGGGUCCUGCUCUGAUUCAUUACCUUUCAUUUGAGCUAUGUCCGGUGUCGAACUUUGCCGUACGGAGCUGGCGAGACUUGCCGGAAGAAUGUACGGUGGAAACGUAAAAAAAAAAAUAAUACCAACUUUGAACCCCUUCAAUUCCCAGAAGGUCCUAACCCCCAAAAAAUCAUUUCAGUGGAUCCUGCUCUGAUUCAUUACCUUUCAUUUGAGCUAUGUCCGGUGACGAACUUUGCCGUACGGAGCUGGCGAGACUUGCCGAAAGAAUGUACGGUGGAAACGUAAAAAAAAAAAUAAUACCAACUUUGAACCCCUUCAAUUCCCAGAAGGUCCUAACCCCCAAAAAAUCAUUUCAGUGGGUCCUGCUCUGAUUCAUUACCUUUCAUUUGAGCUAUGUCCGGUGACGAACUUUGCCGUACGGAGCUGGCGAGACUUGCCGAAAGAAUGUACGGUGGAAACGUAAAAAAAAAAAUAAUACCAACUUUGAACCCCUUCAAUUCCCAGAAGGUCCUAACCCCCAAAAAACCAUUUCAGUGGGUCCUGCUCUGAUUCAUUACCUUUCAUUUGAGCUAUGUCCGGUGUCGAACUUUGCCGUACGGAGCUGGCGAGGCUUGCCGGAAGAAUGUACGGUGGAAACGUAAAAAAAAAAAUAAUACCAACUUUGAACCCCUUCAAUUCCCAGAAGGUCCUAACCCCCAAAAAAUCAUUUCAGUGGGUCCUGCUCUGAUUCAUUACCUUUCAUUUGAGCUAUGUCCGGUGACGAACUUUGCCGUACGGAGCUGGCGAGACUUGCCGAAAGAAUGUACGGUGGAAACGUAAAAAAAAAAAAUAAUACCAACUUUGAACCCCUUCAAUUCCCAGAAGGUCCUAACCCCCAAAAAAUCAUUUCAGUGGGUCCUUCUCUGAUUCAUUACCUUUCAUUUGAGCUAUGUCCGGUGUCGAACUUUGCCGUACGGAGCUGGCGAGACUUGCCGAAAAAAUGUACGGUGGAAACGUAAAAAAAAAAAAAAAUACCAACUUUGAACCCCUUCAAUUCCCAGAAGGUCCUAACCCCCAAAAAAUCAUUUCAGUGGGUCCUGCUCUGAUUCAUUACCUUUCAUUUGAGCUAUGUCCGGUGUCGAACUUUGCCGUACUGAGCUGGUGAGACUUGCAGAAAGAAUGUACGGUGGAAACGUAAAAAAAAAAAUAAUACCAACUUUGAACCCCUUCAAUUCCCAGAAGGUCCUAACCUCCAAAAAAUCAUUUCAGUGGGUCCUGCUCUGAUUCAUUACCUUUCAUUUGAGCUAUGUCCGGUGUCGAACUUUGCCGUACGGAGCUGGCGAGACUUGCCGGAAGAAUGUACGGUGGAAACGUAAAAAAAAAAAUAAUACCAACUUUGAACCCCUUCAAUUCCCAGAAGGUCCUAACCCCCAAAAAAUCAUUUCAGUGGGUCCUGCUCUGAUUCAUUACCUUUCAUUUGAGCUAUGUCCGGUGACGAACUUUGCCGUACGGAGCUGGCGAGACUUGCCGAAAGAAUGUACGGUGGAAACGUAAAAAAAAAAAUAAUACCAACUUUGAACCCCUUCAAUUCCCAGAAGGUCCUAACCCCCAAAAAACCAUUUCAGUGGGUCCUGCUCUGAUUCAUUACCUUUCAUUUGAGCUAUGUCCGGUGUCGAACUUUGCCGUACGGAGCUGGCGAGACUUGCCGGAAGAAUGUACGGUGGAAACGUAAAAAAAAAAAAUAAUACCAACUUUGAACCCCUUCAAUUCCCAGAAGGUCCUAACCCCCAAAAAAUCAUUUCAGUGGGUCCUGCUCUGAUUCAUUACCUUUCAUUUGAGCUAUGUCCGGUGUCAAACUUUGCCGUACGGAGCUGGCGAGA